This is a small nuclear RNA of Ailuropoda melanoleuca (giant panda), 187 nucleotides long. Its record names the gene U2. It matches the Rfam family "U2 spliceosomal RNA". Rfam says of the family: U2 is a small nuclear RNA (snRNA) component of the spliceosome (involved in pre-mRNA splicing). Lineage: Eukaryota; Metazoa; Chordata; Mammalia; Carnivora; Ursidae. The record is from Ensembl.
AUCGCUUCUCAGCCUUUUGGCUAAGAUCAAGUGUAGUUAUCUGUUCCUAUCAAUUUAAUAUCUGACGUCUUCUAUCCAAGGACAACAUGUUAAAUGGAUUUUUGGAGCAGGGAGAUGGAAUAGGAGUUUGCAUCCACUCCGUGUAUCAACCUGGUAUUGCAGUACUUCCAGGAACAGUUCAUCCCCU